GCUGGGCGUGGUGGUGCACACACCUGUAGUCCCAGCUACUUGGAAGGCUGAGGCAGGAGAAUUGCUUGAACCCGGGAGGUGGAGGUUGCAGUGAGCCGAGAUUGCGCCACUGCACUCCAGCCUGGCGCCUGGCAACAAAGCAAGACUCUGUCUCAAAAAAAAAAAAAAAGAGACGAAGUCUUGCUCUGUCGCCAGGCUGGAGUGCAGUGGCACGAUCUCGGCUCACUGCAACCUCCAACUCCCUAAUUCAAGCUAUUCCCCUGCCUCA
This 268-nucleotide small RNA is filed under the name Saimiri boliviensis boliviensis (Bolivian squirrel monkey). Its description in RNAcentral is "Metazoan signal recognition particle RNA (ENSSBOG00000016389.1)". The record is from RNAcentral. Lineage: Eukaryota; Metazoa; Chordata; Mammalia; Primates; Cebidae.